UACGUAGGGGGCGAGCGUUGUCCGGAUUUAUUGGGCGUAAAGAGUGUGUAGGCGGCCAGGUAGGUCUGCUGUGAAAACUCGAGGCUCAACCUCGAGACGUCGGCGGAAACCAUCUGGCUAGAGUCCGGAAGAGGAGAGUGGAAUUCCUGGUGUAGCGGUGAAAUGCGCAGAUAUCAGGAAGAACACCAAUGGCGAAGGCAGCUCUCUGGGACGGUACUGACGCUGAGACGCGAAAGCGUGGGGAGCGAACAGG
Molecule: ribosomal RNA, 253 nt
Filed under: uncultured bacterium
Lineage: Bacteria
Description: partial 16S ribosomal RNA
Rfam family: Bacterial small subunit ribosomal RNA
Source: RNAcentral